Molecule: ribosomal RNA, 564 nt
Filed under: uncultured bacterium
Lineage: Bacteria
Description: bacterial SSU rRNA
Rfam family: Bacterial small subunit ribosomal RNA
Source: RNAcentral
AAUAGAUACCCUGGUAGUCCAUAGCCGUAACGUUGGGCGCUAGAUGUGGGGACCAUUCCGACGGUUUCCGUGUCGCAGCUAACGACAUUAAGCGCCCCGGCCUGGGGGAGUACGGCCGCAAGGACUAAAAACUACAAAAGGAAUUGGACGGGGGGCCCGCACAAGCGGGCGGAGCAUGUCGGUAUUAAUUCGAUGCAACGCGAAGAACCUUACCAAGGCUUGACAUAUACGAGAACGCUCUAGUAAAUAGGAGAACUCUUUGGACACUCGUAUACAGGUGGUGCAUGGUUGUCGUCAGCUCGUGUCGUGAGAUGUUGGGUUAAGUCCCGCAACGAGCGUCAACCCUCGUUCUAUGUUGCCAGCGGUUUCGGCCGGGAACUCAGUAGGAGACUGCCGGGGUCAACGUCGGAGGAAGGUGGGGAUGACGUCAAAUCAUCAUGCCCCGUUAUGUUCUUGGGCUUCACGCAUGCUACAAGUGGCCGGUACAAAGGGCUGCAAGUACCGUAAGGUGGAGCGAAUCCCAAAAAGCCGGUCUCAGUUCGGAUUGAGGUUCUGCAACGUCCG